This 185-nucleotide ribosomal RNA is filed under the name uncultured bacterium. Its description in RNAcentral is "partial 16S ribosomal RNA". It matches the Rfam family "Bacterial small subunit ribosomal RNA", at positions 347 to 524 of the family's 1533-position model. The record is from RNAcentral.
GGCAGCAGUGGGGAAUUUCGGACAAUGGGCGAAAGCCUGAUCCAGCCAUGCCGCGUGCAGGAUGAAGGCCUUCGGGUUGUAAACUGCUUUUGUACGGAACGAAAAGACUCUGGUUAAUACCUGGGGUCCAUGACGGUACCGUAAGAAUAAGCACCGGCUAACUACGUGCCAGCAGCCGCGGUAAU